CUACGGGGCGCAGCAGUGGGGAAUAUUGCACAAUGGAGGAAACUCUGAUGCAGCAACGCCGCGUGGAGGAUGACACUUUUCGGAGCGUAAACUCCUUUUAUAUAGGAAGAAGAUGACGGUACUAUAUGAAUAAGCGCCGGCUAACUCCGUGCCAGCAGCCGCGGUAAUACGGAGGGCGCAAGCGUUACUCGGAGUCACUGGGCGUAAAGAGCGUGUAGGCGGAUUAAAAGGCCAGAAGUGAAAUCCUAUAGCUUAACUAUAGAACUGCUUCUGAAACUCUUAAUCUAGAAUAUGGGAGAGGUAGAUGGAAUUUCUGGUGUAGGGGUAAAAUCCGUAGAGAUCAGAAGGAAUACCGAUUGCGAAGGCGAUCUACUAGAACAUUAUUGACGCUGAGACGCGAAAGCGUGGGGAGCAAACAGGAUUAGAUACCCCUGUAGUC
Molecule: ribosomal RNA, 439 nt
Filed under: uncultured bacterium
Lineage: Bacteria
Description: partial 16S ribosomal RNA
Rfam family: Bacterial small subunit ribosomal RNA
Source: RNAcentral